ACGCGAAGACCUUACCUGGCCUUGACAUCUGUCGAAUCCUGCAGAGAUGUGGGAGUGCCUUCGGGAACGACAAGACAGGUGCUGCAUGGCUGUCGUCAGCUCGUGUCGUGAGAUGUUGGGUUAAGUCCCGCAACGAGCGCAACCCUUGUCCUUAGUUGCCAUCAUUCAGUUGGGAACUCUAAGGAGACCGCCGGCGACAAGCCGGAGGAAGGUGGGGAUGACGUCAAGUCAUCAUGGCCUUUAUGGCCAGGGCUACACACGUGCUACAAUGGUAGGUACAGAGGGAAGCCUACUCGCGAGCGGGAGCCAAUCCCAGAAAUCCUACUCAUAAUACGGAUCUGAGUCUGCAACAUCUAUCUGUAAAGUCGGAAUCACAACAAAUCACAAAUUUACAAAUGCAAGACUAAAAAACAUCACACACGGGACUCGGGACAACACG
Molecule: ribosomal RNA, 439 nt
Filed under: uncultured bacterium
Lineage: Bacteria
Description: bacterial SSU rRNA
Rfam family: Bacterial small subunit ribosomal RNA (bases 1-375)
Source: RNAcentral